Molecule: non-coding RNA, 98 nt
Organism: Gymnopus androsaceus JB14
Lineage: Eukaryota; Fungi; Basidiomycota; Agaricomycetes; Agaricales; Omphalotaceae
Source: the annotation of a GenBank genome assembly
GGGCAUGUAGUGUAGUGGUUAUCGCGUCCGCUUUGCAUCAUCGUGCCGUUCGGCAAGUGUCUUGCGGAAGGUCUCCGGUUCAAUCCCGGACUUGUCCA